RNAcentral lists this ribosomal RNA (208 nucleotides) under uncultured delta proteobacterium. RNAcentral's name for it is "partial 16S ribosomal RNA". It matches the Rfam family "Bacterial small subunit ribosomal RNA", at positions 568 to 775 of the family's 1533-position model. The record is from RNAcentral. Lineage: Bacteria; Deltaproteobacteria.
CGCGUAGGCGGUUUGAUAAGUCAGAUGUGAAAGCCCACGGCUUAACCGUGGAAGUGCAUUUGAUACUGUUAGACUUGAGUACCAGAGGGGAAAGUGGAAUUCCCGGUGUAGAGGUGAAAUUCGUAGAUAUCGGGAGGAAUACCGGUGGCGAAGGCGACUUUCUGGCUGGAUACUGACGCUGAGGCGCGAAAGCGUGGGGAGCAAACGA